RNAcentral lists this ribosomal RNA (465 nucleotides) under uncultured bacterium. RNAcentral describes it as "partial 16S ribosomal RNA". It matches the Rfam family "Bacterial small subunit ribosomal RNA", at positions 28 to 507 of the family's 1533-position model. The record is from RNAcentral.
GACGAACGCUGGCGGCGUGCUUAACACAUGCAAGUCGUACGGUAAAGCCCUUUCGGGGGUACACGAGUGGCGAACGGGUGAGUAACACGUGAGUAACCUGCCCACAACUUUGGGAUAACGCUAGGAAACUGGUGCUAAUACUGGAUAUGUGCUCCUGCUGCAUGGUGGGGGUUGGAAAGCUCCGGCGGUUGUGGAUGGACUCGCGGCCUAUCAGCUUGUUGGUGGGGUAGUGGCCUACCAAGGCGGCGACGGGUAGCCGGCCUGAGAGGGUGACCGGCCACAUUGGGACUGAGAUACGGCCCAGACUCCUACGGGAGGCAGCAGUGGGGAAUAUUGCACAAUGGGCGCAAGCCUGAUGCAGCAACGCCGCGUGCGGGAUGACGGCCUUCGGGUUGUAAACCGCUUUCAGCAGGGACGAAGCUUUUUGUGACGGUACCUGCAGAAGAAGCACCGGCUAACUACGUG